Molecule: ribosomal RNA, 892 nt
Filed under: Salmonella enterica subsp. enterica serovar Newport
Lineage: Bacteria; Pseudomonadati; Pseudomonadota; Gammaproteobacteria; Enterobacterales; Enterobacteriaceae
Description: partial 23S ribosomal RNA
Rfam family: Bacterial large subunit ribosomal RNA
Source: RNAcentral
GAAUUCAUCUCCGGGGGUAGAGCACUGUUUCGGCUAGGGGGCCAUCCCGGCUUACCAACCCGAUGCAAACUGCGAAUACCGGAGAAUGUUAUCACGGGAGACACACGGCGGGUGCUAACGUCCGUCGUGAAGAGGGAAACAACCCAGACCGCCAGCUAAGGUCCCAAAGUCAUGGUUAAGUGGGAAACGAUGUGGGAAGGCCCAGACAGCCAGGAUGUUGGCUUAGAAGCAGCCAUCAUUUAAAGAAAGCGUAAUAGCUCACUGGUCGAGUCGGCCUGCGCGGAAGAUGUAACGGGGCUAAACCAUGCACCGAAGCUGCGGCAGCGACACUGUGUGUUGUUGGGUAGGGGAGCGUUCUGUAAGCCUGUGAAGGUGUGUCGUGAGGCAUGCUGGAGGUAUCAGAAGUGCGAAUGCUGACAUAAGUAACGAUAAAGCGGGUGAAAAGCCCGCUCGCCGGAAGACCAAGGGUUCCUGUCCAACGUUAAUCGGGGCAGGGUGAGUCGACCCCUAAGGCGAGGCCGAAAGGCGUAGUCGAUGGGAAACAGGUUAAUAUUCCUGUACUUGGUGUUACUGCGAAGGGGGGACGGAGAAGGCUAUGUUGGCCGGGCGACGGUUGUCCCGGUUUAAGCGUGUAGGCUGGUUUUCCAGGCAAAUCCGGAAAAUCAAGGCUGAGGCGUGAUGACGAGGCACUACGGUGCUGAAGCAACAAAUGCCCUGCUUCCAGGAAAAGCCUCUAAGCAUCAGGUAACAUCAAAUCGUACCCCAAACCGACACAGGUGGUCAGGUAGAGAAUACCAAGGCGCUUGAGAGAACUCGGGUGAAGGAACUAGGCAAAAUGGUGCCGUAACUUCGGGAGAAGGCACGCUGACACGUAGGUGAAGUGAUUUACUCA